UAGGGAAUCUUCGGCAAUGGACGAAAGUCUGACCGAGCAACGCCGCGUGAGUGAAGAAGGUUUUCGGAUCGUAAAACGCUUUUGUUAGAGAAGAACAAGGACGUUAGUAACUGAACGUCCCCUGACGGUAUCUAACCAGAAAGCCACGGCUAACUACGUGCCAGCAGCCGCGGUAAUACGUAGGUGGCAAGCGUUGUUCGGAUUUAUUGGGCGUAAAGCGAGCGCAGGCGGUUUCUUAAGUCUGAUGUGAAAGCCCCCGGCUCAACCGGGGAGGGUCAUUGGAAACUGGGAGACUUGAGUGCAGAAGAGGAGAGUGGAAUUCCAUGUGUAGCGGUGAAAUGCGUAGAUAUAUGGAGGAACACCAGUGGCGAAGGCGGCUCUCUGGUCUGUAACUGACGCUGAGGCUCGAAAGCGUGGGGAGCAAACAGG
Molecule: ribosomal RNA, 429 nt
Filed under: Gemmatimonadota bacterium
Lineage: Bacteria; Pseudomonadati; Gemmatimonadota
Description: Gemmatimonadetes bacterium partial 16S ribosomal RNA
Rfam family: Bacterial small subunit ribosomal RNA
Source: RNAcentral